Molecule: small nuclear RNA, 106 nt
Organism: Meriones unguiculatus (Mongolian gerbil)
Lineage: Eukaryota; Metazoa; Chordata; Mammalia; Rodentia; Muridae
Source: Ensembl
GUGUUCACUUUGGCAGCACAUAUACUGAAACUGAGUGAUGCGGAGAAGGUUAGCAUGGCCCCUGCUCAAGGAUGCCAUGCAAAUUCGUGAAGCAUUCCAUAUUUUU